GGCUCCAUAGUGUGGUGGUUAGCACGUCUGCUUUACACACAGAAGGUCCCAGGUUCGCACCCCAGGUAGAGCCA
Pteropus alecto (black flying fox) is the source of this 74-nucleotide non-coding RNA. NCBI's taxonomy places the organism in Eukaryota, Metazoa, Chordata, Mammalia, Chiroptera, Pteropodidae. The record is from Rfam.